GAGUCAUUUAACCAUUAGUGAACAAGUCUAACCAUACAGAACACAUCAUAGGUGAGUCAUUUAACCAUUAGUGAACAAGUCUAACCAUACAGAACACAUCAUAGGUGAGUCAUUUAACCAUUAGUGAACAAGUCUAACCAUACAGAACACAUCGUAGGUGAGUCAUUUAACCAUUAGUGAACAGGUCUAACCAAGGUUAGUCAUUUAACCAUUAGUGAACAAGUCUAACCAUACAGAACACAUCGUAGGUGAGUCAUUUAACCAUUAGUGAACAAGUCUAACCAUACAGAACACAUCGUAGGUGAGUCAUUUAACCAUUAGUGAACAAGUCUAACCAUACAGAACACAUCAUAGGUGAGUCAUUUAACCAUUAGUGAACAAGUCUAACCAUACAGAACACAUCAUAGGUGAGUCAUUUAACCAUUAGUGAACAAGUCUAACCAUACAGAACACAUCAUAGGUGAGUCAUUUAACCAUUAGUGAACAAGUCUAACCAUACAGAACACAUCAUAGGUGAGUCAUUUAACCAUUAGUGAACAAGUCUAACCAUACAGAACACAUCAUAGGUGAGUCAUUUAACCAUUAGUGAACAAGUCUAACCAUACAGAACACAUCGUAGGUGAGUCAUUUAACCAUUAGUGAACAAGUCUAACCAUACAGAACACAUCGUAGGUGAGUCAUUUAACCAUUAGUGAACAAGUCUAACCAUACAGAACACAUCGUAGGUGAGUCAUUUAACCAUUAGUGAACAAGUCUAACCAUACAGAACACAUCGUAGGUGAGUCAUUUAACCAUUAGUGAACAAGUCUAACCAUACAGAACACAUCGUAGGUGAGUCAUUUAACCAUUAGUGAACAAGUCUAACCAUACAGAACACAUCGUAGGUGAGUCAUUUAACCAUUAGUGAACAAGUCUAACCAUACAGAACACAUCAUAGGUGAGUCAUUUAACCAUUAGUGAACAAGUCUAACCAUACAGAACACAUCGUAGGUGAGUCAUUUAACCAUUAGUGAACAAGUCUAACCAUACAGAACACAUCGUAGGUGAGUCAUUUAACCAUUAGUGAACAAGUCUAACCAUACAGAACACAUCAUAGGUGAGUCAUUUAACCAUUAGUGAACAAGUCUAACCAUACAGAACACAUCAUAGGUGAGUCAUUUAACCAUUAGUGAACAAGUCUAACCAUACAGAACACAUCAUAGGUGAGUCAUUUAACCAUUAGUGAACAAGUCUAACCAUACAGAACACAUCGUAGGUGAGUCAUUUAACCAUUAGUGAACAAGUCUAACCAUACAGAACACAUCAUAGGUGAGUCAUUUAACCAUUAGUGAACAAGUCUAACCAUACAGAACACAUCAUAGGUGAGUCAUUUAACCAUUAGUGAACAAGUCUAACCAUACAGAACACAUCAUAGGUGAGUCAUUUAACCAUUAGUGAACAAGUCUAACCAUACAGAACACAUCAUAGGUGAGUCAUUUAACCAUUAGUGAACAAGUCUAACCAUACAGAACACAUCAUAGGUGAGUUAAUCAAUUCCGCUGCUCACCGUGCUGAAGAACAAAACGCUAGUGGACGUGGCGAUGUGGAUGGCAAAAACAAAACAUUUUUGUGACAUAUUGUCCUCCAGUCCACCAUGCAUGUGGUCUGAAUUGAUUGUUUCCCCUG
Molecule: long non-coding RNA, 1665 nt
Organism: Oncorhynchus tshawytscha (Chinook salmon)
Lineage: Eukaryota; Metazoa; Chordata; Actinopteri; Salmoniformes; Salmonidae
Exons: 3
Source: RefSeq, a predicted model, not a curated record